ACUAUCCCAAAACUUUUAAUGCAAGCAAAUAUUUGACUUUACUUUGCAAUUUGUUGCAGAUAGAUCACUUUAUAGUACAAGACUCCGAAAUAAACGCCUGAGCCUGAGUUGUUCAAGCGUCAGCGUGCACAAGGUCCCGAAGACGCAGACGACAUAUUUUUUUCACCUCCUCAAUGCCGCACGUUCUCUCCACCGCAUGCUGGUUGGGCAUGCGAGCCCGCAUCUGCCUGAAGAUGUUUGGCUUGUCGUUCAUCCGGGCGCAGAUGACGAACGGGAAGCCAAAACGCUCCUUGUAGUCCUUGUUGAGCUGCGCCAUGCUGGAGGCCUCCUCGGAGGUCAGCGCGUCCAAGCCGACAUUGCCCUGCUCCUUCACCGACUCCUGGGUCAGAGUGCCAGCCUGGAGGUCUCGGCCCGCAAGAUCCGGGUGGCACCUGAGGAUGCCCUCUUUACCUGGACACAAAUAGGGAAGGAUUUUGUUGCAGGGACAUGCAAGUUGACCUUCCCUACCCAAGAGAAAGAGCCACUUGGCGUAUUAUGGACCAAGACACCACCAUUUUGACUCUUUCAGGCCACAAUGCUUCUUGUUGGAGCUAAAGUCAGUCAAAUAGGCUUGAGAAUGUGACUAUACAGAACCCUAUUGGCUGAAAUAUCUGGUAUUUUUGCUCAUUUGAUGGGCAAAGAGGUCUGGCUAAAGGACUCACCUGAUUCAGGCAAAGCGUCAAUGAAGUCACUGAUGGCCGCCUCCAUUGCAUCAACACUCCCAAAGGGCCGAGAGGAGCACACGGCUGCUGCCACAAUGGGACAUUUCUCCACCACAUUGCUGAAGAUGUUGAUGAAAUCCUCAUCGGGGAGUGUAUUUACUCUGGAGAGUUCCAUUCCCCCCUUUGGAGAUGAUCAUGCAAAAGCUCUGAGUUGAAUGCACUUUGCACAACAAGCUCCUUGUUACUGUCUCGGUUAAUGUUUGCCUUAUUGAUUCUCCUGGCAAUUACAGCAUUAGUCAAAAGAGGACUGUGAAAUUCUGACUUCAUGAUGUUAUGAUUUACGUGCCAAAUUGAAGGAAUCGAAUCCAGGAUAGAGUAUAUACCUGUAUACUCUAUAACCACGAGGGUAUAAAUAGCUAUAGCCUACAUGCUGCAUUCCACAGUUCACACCCUUUAUCAAGCGACGUCAAAUUGAUAAGAUAAAGUUAAAGUCGGAGUUUUAUGAGCCCACAAAAGCAUUCGACAUGAAUUUGAAAGUUUUGAUUACAUCACCUUAUAGUUGAAGAAAUAUCUUGCUUUCCUUUGCCGUCUCCGAACAGUGCCGAACAGACCGUCGCGCUGACUUUCCGUGCAGCUGUUGGCCGAGCUAUACGUCGUUGCAGGCAGCGCCGCCGAUUGGUCAAUUCCGUCACCAGUGUUGAUGCAUCAGGUACAGCGUUUCCCCCCGUUUUUAGGGCCAAAUUGAAUAGAAAAAAAGUUUGCCCUAAAUAAAAUAUCUGACUAUAGAUAAAAUAGCUCUUUGGGUACAUGUGUAUUUAUUCAUUAUAUUGUUAUCCCUUAUCUUAAUCUUACUUUUUAAUGAUUUAUUUACUUCUUAAGUGUUUGCAUAUAUGUACAGAGAGCUAAUUUAACCAAAGUCAAAUUCCUUGUUUUCUGUAAGCAUAUUUGGCCAAUACAGCUGAUUCUGAUCAAAUAUGCAGAAAAACACGAUACAGGUGUAAUCCUAUUUAGCAGAAAUGUGACUGUACAUAAUACGACAUAAAUGGGGCAAUGAUGUCACGCUCAGAUGUUGUUGUCAUUUAUUGCAGAUUUAAUGCUUAAUCUUGGAAAAAUACAUUCAAUGAAUCAUAUUGUUUAAAGCUCUUAAAGAAAAAUGCAGAAUAAACCAGUCACAAAUCACAAUUUGCAGACAAAAGGCUGUUUCCAUAUAGUGUAAAGUUAGGUAUAUGUAAAAAAAAUAACAUACAGUGUAUAGUCCAGCACAUUUGUUAGAAACUCCAUAAAUUAUUUUGGUCUAAUGGCUAAUUUAUUUGAUUAAUCUGAUUUGAUUAGACGUGUCCAAAUUCUUUGGUCUGCGGAUCAUUUUUUAUCAUCUCACUGCAUGUUUUAAGCAGCAAAUGAAAGACGGCCUCUCAUCAGAACAACUACUGUAAUAACAGAUGAGGUGUUGGCUGUUUUUAAUUUCUUUAAAUAUGCUUAACUACAUAGCAUAUUUUGAUCUACAUUGAUUGAUGAGAAAGUUAACAAAAAGGUGAAUAUCAUCCUUCAUUUUUUUGGCAAAGGCUUUGACACCCCUGUAUUGUAUUCCAUGAAAUGUGUUGCGAUGCUCCUUUUUGUGUGUUUUCAGAUACGCUUGCUCACUCACUGACUCUGCUUCAGAAGUUUGUCCUCACACAUUUCCACACACGUGUCGUUGGCCGAGCAUGCCUUGUCGCCCCCCUCCUGUUUCACAAAAGCGGAAGCAUCCAGUACGGCUGAUGUAUUCUGGUAGUCGCUGGGUAUCUGGUCGAUCAUGUUGUGAUAGAGCUGAAAGAGGAAGGCUCUCUGUCAGCUACACGUAUGAGUCAGAUAAAAGUGAUAUGUUUCUUAAAAAAAGUAAGUCGAUGUGAGGUUACAUCUAUUGUAUGGAUGCUCAAACCUACAAAUUUACCUUCUCCUCUCUGAUUGUCAGCUGGUCAGACAUAAAAGACACCAGUUUGGAGAACGAGGGCCGGUGGCAGGGCUCCGAGGCCCAGCACUUGCACAUGAUCCCGUACCUGCAGGAAGACUGAUAAUUAAAUAUUCUGUGUGGAGUCACAUGUAGACUAUAGGGUAGCACACCUACACUGACUCAUCAGCGUGGUACGGACACUCCAUCUUAAAUCCUCUCUCAAUCAUUGAGUAGAAGGCGUGGUCCACCUUCAUUCCCGGGUACGGCGUGACACCUGAGGCCGACAUUUGUAUGAAUGGCUGUUCACACAGUGUGUGCUGCUCAUUAACAUCAGGUGCUCAUGUUAGAGGCGAUACCGAGAGAGAAGAUCUCCCAGAGGAGGAUGCCGUAUGCCCACACGUCGCUCUUCAUGGUGUACAUCCCCUCGAAGAUGCUCUCCGGCGCCAUCCAUUUGACGGGCAAACGCACCUGUGAGGCGGUAAAGUAAUUUGACUCACUUUGGAUGUGAAGGGUGUGUGUGUGUGUGUGUGUGUGUGUGUGUGUGUGUGUGUGUGUGUGUGUGUGUGAGUAUCAUCUGACUUACAUUUCCUCUCACAACAUAGUUGGAGUCAUUGUCGAUGUCUCGAGCCAAUCCAAAGUCCCCGAUUUUCACCUGUCUGCCUUUCGUAACCAACACGUUCCGUGCUGCCAGAUCACGAUGGAUACACUACACGCACACACACCCGCGCGCGCGCACACACACAUGCAUUAGCAGCAUUAGUGCAAUGUCAGCACAUUUACCUGGAUGUAUUAUUUAUAGUUGACUUAUCAACAUUCAUCUGGCACUUUAUGUUUGCAAAUGGGAGGAUGUCAUAACAAUAGCAUAACUACAGCGGUACCUUUGGUUUGCGUACGCCCUGACUUUUGUAGGAUCGGGUUUUUGAAGAAAAUUAUUGCCCAAACCUUAUCUCGGUUUUUCGUCUUGCUUUUUGUACAAAAGUCAUUCUCCCCCAGCUCCAUCACUCCUCCAUGACAUCAUGAGCAGGUGACUGUAGAUUUUUGCUAACUAACACAGCUACACCACAAGUGUAUGUUUUUUUUGUUUUUUUUUUAGUACGGCUGCAAAAUAAAGAAAGUUGCAAGUGUCAGCACGUUGCUAAAGAAGGCGAGAAACACUAUUGAAUUCAAGAAAGAAGUCUUCGUAAAACACAACGGCGGUGUCCAUGUGGCUCUCCCCUCUCUUUCUCCCUCGUCGCUCAUCGCCAUCUUUGCCAACAAGGGUUUUCAAUAAAGUGUUUUACUCUGGUGCUUACAUUUUUGGAGGAGAGGAACUCCAUGCCUUUAGCCACUUGGAAAGCAAAGCUCAAGAGGUCAUCAAAAGUCAGCGCCUGCAGAUCGUCCGUGUGGUCGUUUUUGUAGCUUCCUGGAUCAGUCAAGAUCAGCAGUGAACUUGUAAUUGUCAAAUGUUUAGUUUGCAUCAGAAGCGACCUUCUGACCUUCAUCGCAGUCCAUGUUGUCCAAACUGUGAUGGAGGAGGGCGACGUCCUCCUGUCCUCGAGUAGAGGCAGGGUGCAUCGGCACGUAGUUGUUCACACUGCCCUCCUGCACACUGAUGUCACACAAUACACUACAGUCAGUUUCUGUUCUCUGCUUUAAAUUAUUAGGUUUUUUUAAUGGUAACCUAAAUAGAAAGUGGUUUGAUGGCCAUAUCUGUGGGGCGAAAUAGGGAUUUCUCUUAUUUUCCUUAAAAUGUCCCGUAUUUUCAAAUGCAAAUGUCGACAGGUAUGGCGAUGCUGUGUAACUGUUAGCCUGGUCAUUUUUUUCUUAGAGUAAAACUGAAUUUAAAAUGUGUUUAACUGUGGGAGGGCUUUUAGAGUAUUUUAAUAAGCAUUUCAGGGCUUUUUAUGGGUGCAUCCAUUGUUUGUUCGUAACCCCCACGAAUAGAGGGCCUCUACUCUGUUCACUAAAUUCACGAAGCAAUGUGUGAUGCCCACCAGGAGCUUUUUGUUGUUGUCAGGUUGUUGUAAAGGCUGCUGAAGCGGUCCUCAGUAAAGGCGUCUGCCACAGACUUGUGGUAACGCUUGCUGCUGUUCUUCAGGUAGUUGAGCAAGUCUCCAUGGCAGCAGAACUGGAAUAUCAGGUAUAUGGGACCUGCAUGGGAGGGGACAUUACGCUUAGGGGCAUUAUUUUAUGCACAUUUUUUGUUGAAUUCAUGAGUACUCGCAGAAAACCCAAACACAACACAACCCAAGCACAGGGAGAACAUGCAAACUCCACACAGAGAUGUUCCAACUUGAAUUCCAACUUCACGACUGUUUUAGUAGUUGCGUGGACAUACCUGACUCUGUGCAGGCUCCGAGCAGGUUGACAAUGUUGGCAUGGUGACCAAUGUGAGUCAGCAUCUUUAGUUCGGACAUGAGAGCCUCUUUCUCCACCUCCUGGUGUUUCUCUGCAUGGCAGAACCACCGGACGGGCUGAUCUUACCGCGACGUUGCCUUUGGACUUGUAUCAGGCCAAGCAAACACUAACCUUUCAGCAUCUUGACGGCCACCUGCUGUGACACGCCGGCCUUGUUGAUGCCGUACGCUGUUGCCUGGACCACCGUGCCGAAAGCACCGGAGCCCAGUUCUUUGCCUGAGGAGGACACAGAUGCCAACUGGUUACGAGAACAGUCACAAUAAGUCUUAUGGCAAGAACUGAUGGAUUUACUCAAACCUAAUUCCAGGUUCUCUCUAGGAAACUCCCAUUUGCGUUCAUACUCAAAGUCCUUGAAGCUAAUGUAGAUGUAGUCGUUGUCAUUGGGCCCGACCAUCUGGAUCAUCUGGAGCUGGGGCUGAUACUGAGGUUUCUGUUGGACAAUUAGGGUGAGUCAAGGCCUUUUGUACAUGAAUGUAACGGAUGGCGGCCGGUGUGCGUGGAUGUGGGUUCAAGUCGAACACAUGCACACGUCUCACCUUCUUUUUGACAAAGUAAAGGAGCACCAUGCUGACUACGAUCAGAGCCACAACCAGGAUCACUUUCAACACCAUGAAGCUGCCCUUAUCCUCAUCCGGACCUCCUGAAACACACCAGGGUGUGUGCGAAGAAAGAGAGAGAGAGGUGCACAGUUUCUAGAGCUAGUUCGUUAGGCGGAACAAACCUCUUGGGGCCAGCAGGGACGGUGAGUAGUAGACCAAGUGUCUCUCGGUGCACCAGGAGCCGACUGAGUUAGUCAGACAAAACUUCAAAUAGUGUCCAUCAAAAAGCUCUCUACUGAUGGAGCUCUCCAUGGGCUUGUCACAUCGCAUAUCAGAGUCACUCUGUGAGGCGUUGGGAAUGUGUUUCCACACAGAGUGCCUGUCACAGCUGCAACGAGACAAUGUGUGGAGAUGUGUCAUGGAGGAGAUCAACACCUGCCCAGUUGUGGUCGCACCUUUGGUUGGCAGAGAAACAUGACAUCCAAGUGUAAUUUGCAGGCACCGCGCUCGCUGUCUUGAUGCGGAUGGUAUUGUCAUCUCUGUCCUUGAUGAAAUUGAACUUUGGCUCGUCUGUGAUGAAGGGAGCGUGCAGUGAAGCUUAAUGUGUAGAACAUAGAUGUCAAAUGAGUGUUUCUUACCUACAACACACACAGACACAGACUUGCUUUGGUUUUGUCCGCCUGCCUUCAAGUGGAGCUUGUACUCUCCUGAUUUUAGUGCACCGCACAGCUUCACCGUCCUGAAAUACAUUUUUUUGAAAUGCACUCACUUUACUAUGAAAAUUACAUACAAAAAACUCUUUAAAAAAAAUCAUAUUUUUAAUGUUGGAAAUGACUGAAGGAAAAUACAUGAUUUAUUAUUGUAUUUUUUAUUUUAGCUUAUUUAUUUUGUACAUCUUAUCCAAAUUGUCAGAUGUCACGAGGUUGUAAAUAGUUGUUUGUAGGACCUUAUUACAUUUUGGUUGUUUUGAAAUGUACGUCCUUUAGCUAUUUUGACUUGUUGAUGAUGGAUGUUGUUCCCUUUUCGGGUGCUAAUACUGCCUUUUGCAGCAGUGGUCGUACUUGUGCUUUGUCACCCAGUCGUCCUUAAUGCAUUGGAACAAAUUCCCAUCAGGAGCCUCCCAGGCGCAGUACUGCAGCAUGGGGUGGUACAACACAUGGGCUUGCAAACAUGAGCUGAGCGCCACCUGGGCUGGAAGACUUUUGCUUGCAUCCAGCUGGACUGAGAGGGAAUCUUCAGCUGAGGUAUAGCUGCCGCUGUGGUUCACCUUGAUGGAGUUGAUGAACAAGUAGGACAUCUGGAUUUUGCCAUUCUUAGGUGGCAUAGCAUGAUGACACAGCCACACAGCUCGGCUUGAAAAUGCAGACUUCAAACUGCAUACAAGUCUUUCCAUGGUGUAAAUCGGGCAAGUAAAAGCAGAUUUAUGAGAAAUAAUGUUCAGUGAUUUGUAUGCACUUUCGGUGCAGGAAGGCAGCCGCUUUGAAUGCGGAGGGAAAGUUGCCAAUGAAACAUGACACCACCUUCCUAUUGGUGAAAAACCCUCAUCAGUCAAAGCAUUUGUAGUCCUUUGGUUGCAGAGGGUGGAAAGGUAAGCCAACACUGCCACCAAGAAGCCAUAAAUCAUGGUUUUGGAAUUCAUGUUAACACUGCAUGUUAUACAUUCUUUUUUUUUUUAGAAAAAAAAAAAGUUCUCUACUCGAAUUUGAGGUUUUUGGGUGAUUUUUAAGCCCUACGUGUUAAAUUAGUACACCAUGUGAAAAUGGAACAAAAAUAACUGUACGGUACACAAAAAAAGGAAACCGACCGAGGCAAGGUAAAGAGUUUUUAUGGUGAAAUAUCCUGAUAAGGUAAACACAAAAGUACAUCAAACUAAAUCCUACUCUGGACUCCAAAGGGUUAAAGACUGCUGGAGUAGCUCUACCUCCUCGUUGACUUUAGCGGGGCAUGCUAAAGCGCCGGAUGUCAUCCCUUGGCCGUCUUUGUCCCACACCACUGCUGAUCGCAGUCUCUUGCGUUGGAUUCUGCAGCGAAGCAGGAGAGGCUGACCAGGACUCACGAUCACCUUGGACACCUCAUUUUUCUUCACGUCACUCUCCAAGUCUAAAAAACAAAGCCAUUACUCGAUCUAAUGGCUUGAAAUAAAUCAGGCUUUGGUUCCCUCCAUUGGUUGGUGUCAUGAAGAAGCUGCGAUGCAAUUACCAUAGUCAUACAGUUGGGAGCAUUCCUGUCCUUUGGUGUUACUUGCACAACACAUGACUCCUCUGUGUAUAAACUUAAUGCUGGUUAUUGUGCGCACUGCACUUCCACCAUCCCCUGAAACAGUCCCCUCAUCUGGAAUUCUGUUCAAAAGGAAAAGCGGUCCCAAAAAAAUCACGUAUUCAUUGUUAGAAAUUGUCCUUACCCAGACCACCUCAACGUGGGUUUUGGGUGUCCCUCAGAUGCACACUUAAAAUGAGGAGAACUCAUUGGCACAUCCGCAUGAAUCAGUGUCAGACGAGGUUUUGUGGGGCGCUCUAAGGAGGAAACAUCAUCAUAUAACUUCAAAUUUGUAACAUGAGUGACGGUAAUAUAUACCACUAACCUGAAGGAUUGUCUACAUGAAGAACCACGGACAAAGAAAACCUGGUCCCAUUGGCAAGCUCACAUCUCAGCGUGUACUCCCCGGAAUCUCCCUUGGAAAGUGAUGGCAGGACCAUGGAGACGCUCCCAUUUCUGUAGAGAAGAACCACCUCACAUAAAUCCAACAGACCUACAAGCAUACAGACUGACAUAUGAGACACUUACGCUGCCACCACCGCGUCUGAUCCUCGGAUGAAGCGGCACUUAGCGCAUCCGUGGAGAUCAUCCAGGGAGAUGACCAGUGUCUUGCCCACAUGGACCCCUAGGUGGACUGGACCUGAUGCAUUCAGGUGGUCCACUGGGUGAAAGCACUCCACCUGGAAAACAUGCCACAACGGAA
Long non-coding RNA from Dunckerocampus dactyliophorus (ringed pipefish), 8526 nucleotides. RefSeq lists it as uncharacterized. The record is from RefSeq and is a predicted model, not a curated record. The transcript has 4 exons. NCBI's taxonomy places the organism in Eukaryota, Metazoa, Chordata, Actinopteri, Syngnathiformes, Syngnathidae.